CCUUUGCCUUUGCUUCUGCCUGUGCCUCUGCCUUUGCCUUUGCCUUUGCCUUUAGCUUUUACGCUUCUCCCGUGGAUACGCUUGUGCCUUUUCUUUCUUCUUCGUGCCCGAACCAUCUCAUUCUUCUGCCAGGUGCGAUAUAUUUCCCCUUCGAAAACCGACGCGAUAUAUUUAUUCGAUGACUUGUAUCCUUUGCUCGAUCCGCGCUUUCUAUGAUAAUAACGUUCGUCUCGCGUUCUGAUGUACCGAUCGUGUCGCAGGCUGGAUAGGUUGACCCAUGUUUUUUCGACGGAGUCGACGUUCGAGUCGACUAUCGAAUCUUGAUCAUGUGACCAGUGCGUCAAUGGUGGUCGAACGGUUGAUCGGGGGUUCUUUCUCUGUUAGACGUAAUCCACUAAUCGCGAGUUUAUCUCGCGAGUUCCGUUUUAUUUCGCACUUUCGCUCCUAUUUUUGACAGGAAGACACGCAUCGAUACAGAGAUUCUUAAAAAAAUAUUAAAGUCUAAAUAUUCU
This is a long non-coding RNA of Frieseomelitta varia, 512 nucleotides long. RefSeq lists it as uncharacterized. The transcript is spliced from 3 exons. The record is from RefSeq and is a predicted model, not a curated record. Lineage: Eukaryota; Metazoa; Arthropoda; Insecta; Hymenoptera; Apidae.